CAGGUGAGUUUGGGUUUGGAUCACAAAGCAGGGACUGGUUAAAAGCACGUAAAGUAACUCUUGUUAGUAAACGCAUUUCACUUGGGAGAUAUGCAAACAAAAUUUCUUCAAAGCAUCAAUGACAAUCUGCAUACAAUGACAAAAGUGAUGCCUUGAAACAUAUGAAAGAAACCAAUUAAAUCUAAGUGUCAUACAAGAUCUAAUAUCAGUUAAUGAUUCC
Molecule: unclassified non-coding RNA, 220 nt
Filed under: Hevea brasiliensis (rubber tree)
Lineage: Eukaryota; Viridiplantae; Streptophyta; Magnoliopsida; Malpighiales; Euphorbiaceae
Source: RNAcentral